Molecule: transfer RNA, 74 nt
Filed under: Lachnospiraceae bacterium OttesenSCG-928-E19
Lineage: Bacteria; Bacillati; Bacillota; Clostridia; Lachnospirales; Lachnospiraceae
Description: tRNA-Arg
Rfam family: tRNA
About the family: Transfer RNA (tRNA) molecules are approximately 80 nucleotides in length. Their secondary structure includes four short double-helical elements and three loops (D, anti-codon, and T loops).
Source: RNAcentral
GUGGGCAUAGCUCAGCUGGAUAGAGCGUCUGGCUACGGACCAGAAGGUCGGGAGUUCGAAUCUUCUUGCCCACG